This 160-nucleotide ribosomal RNA is filed under the name Aspergillus niger. Its description in RNAcentral is "5.8S ribosomal RNA". It matches the Rfam family "5.8S ribosomal RNA". From Rfam's summary of the family: 5.8S ribosomal RNA (5.8S rRNA) is a component of the large subunit of the eukaryotic ribosome. It is transcribed by RNA polymerase I as part of the 45S precursor that also contains 18S and 28S rRNA. The record is from RNAcentral. Lineage: Eukaryota; Fungi; Ascomycota; Eurotiomycetes; Eurotiales; Aspergillaceae.
UAAAACUUUCAACAAUGGAUCUCUUGGUUCCGGCAUCGAUGAAGAACGCAGCGAAAUGCGAUAACUAAUGUGAAUUGCAGAAUUCAGUGAAUCAUCGAGUCUUUGAACGCACAUUGCGCCCCCUGGUAUUCCGGGGGGCAUGCCUGUCCGAGCGUCAUUG